UACGUAGGGUGCGAGCGUUGUCCGGAAUUAUUGGGCGUAAAGAGCUCGUAGGCGGUGUGUCACGUCGGCCGUGAAAACCUGGGGCUUAACUCUGGGCGUGCGGUCGAUACGGGCAUCACUGGAGUUCGGCAGGGGAGACUGGAAUUCCUGGUGUAGCGGUGAAAUGCGCAGAUAUCAGGAGGAACACCGGUGGCGAAGGCGGGUCUCUGGGCCGAUACUGACGCUGAGGAGCGAAAGCGUGGGGAGCAAACAGG
Molecule: ribosomal RNA, 254 nt
Filed under: uncultured bacterium
Lineage: Bacteria
Description: partial 16S ribosomal RNA
Rfam family: Bacterial small subunit ribosomal RNA
Source: RNAcentral